This is a long non-coding RNA of Dama dama (fallow deer), 552 nucleotides long. RefSeq lists it as uncharacterized. The record is from RefSeq and is a predicted model, not a curated record. Lineage: Eukaryota; Metazoa; Chordata; Mammalia; Artiodactyla; Cervidae. The transcript is spliced from 3 exons.
GUAAGCUACAGAAGCAGAAGGGAGCAUGAAGUUACUUCUAGCUGGAUCUCCAUGGAUUGCAGCCCACCAGGCUCCUCUGUCCAUGGAGUUUUCCAGAUUACAUUACCUAAUAGGUUUCGAACUGUGGUGUUGGAGAAGACUCUUGAGACUCCCUUGGACUGCAAGGAGAUCCAACCAGUCCAUCCUAAAGGAAAUCAGUCCUGAAUAUUCAUUGGAAGGACUUAUGUUGAAGCUGAAACUCCAAAAGUUUGGCCACCUCGUGUGAAGAGCUGACUCAUUUGAAAAGACCCUGAUGCUGGGAAAGAUUGAGGGCAGGAGGAGAAGGGGACGACAGAGGAUGAGAUGGUUGGAUGGCAUCAUCGACUCGAUGGACAUGGGUUUGGGUGAACUCCGGGAGUUGGUGAUGGACAGGGAGGCCUGGCUUGCUGUGUUUCAUGGGGUUGCAAAGAGUCGGACACGACUGAGCGACUGAACUGAACUGAUGAUAACUUUUCCUGUGCAGAUUUUUAAAAAAUAUGUGAUUGCGUUUCUCAAGCUUUUCUUUAGUUUCUU